This 1341-nucleotide long non-coding RNA is filed under the name Marmota monax (woodchuck). Lineage: Eukaryota; Metazoa; Chordata; Mammalia; Rodentia; Sciuridae. The record is from RNAcentral.
GGAGCUGAAGGGGAACUGAACCUACAGGGGGCGGCGAUAGCAGCCUGGCCCCUAGGUCUCCUGGCAAUGAGCUUUGCCGCCGGGAGAAACAGUGCCCAAGGCGCUGUGCCUCUCGGCCGGGAACUAGGACACUGACGCAGCUUUGGGCUUUAGUCUGGCAGUCCCAGAGAAGCAAGAGCUUGGGGAGAGGUGCUGCAGCUGGAGCCACAGGCCCAGCUAGGAGAAAUGCCAUGGCUCGGUAGGAAACUGGAACCAGUAACAGGGCACUCUGGUGGUACUGAGAGCCGGAUCCCGCACAGCGGUCGGGUGCAAAGGCCAGCGCGAUACUGCAUAAAUCGGCAGGAGGAGAUUUGUGCAGACCACAGGGAUGCCCGCCCGCAGAGCCAGCUCCGGAUUUCUUAGGUUCAGUCCCCCUUCAGCUCCGUUUAUUUCGAUUUGUUAUUCGGCUCCGUUUUCUCGUCGUGUCUAAUCGUUUCGGUUUUAUGUACGAUCUAAAUUUCUGUCGUAUUGUUUUCGCCUACAGAGUUCCUGGAGUUUGCUAUCAUUGCGUUUUAGCCUCUCUGGCUUGUCUCCGCCCUCCGCCUGGAAGGUCAUAAAUACUGGGGAUGGCGAUGGUGCGGAGGAUCGGCCUCAUCUCUCCAUCAACGCAGAGGCUUCUGUCCUGCUUCUCUGAGGCUCACGCGAUGGAGCAGCGUUUUCUGGGCCAUGUGAAGCAGGCUUGGGAUUCCGUGGAGGUGGCGCCAGAGCGGCGGCCUCCUCCUGCGCUGAGUUUAGAAGCUGGUGGUCCUUGGCCUCUCCCUUGCUACCCUGUCCUAGGAGUUCUCGGUUGACAACUGCGACUUUGACUGGGAGCGGCUCUCCAGUCCUGUUGGCGGGGCGCCCGGUCCACCUGCAAAACGGAUUCCGCGGGAGUCCAGAGCUCCUGGGAACCAACCAAAGUCUGGAAGCUGCGACGCAAGAAACUGGAGGCUCGGGCAGAUGGGGAGGAGCCUGCGGAAGAGCCCAACGCACUCACGGCUGCAGCAGAUUUCACUGCGAAGGACGCAGCCCCCCACCCUCCUACCCCGGUGACCAGCCCUGGACACCAAGACCUCUGCUGACCAGUGUCUCUCCGAGUGCCCCCACCUGUCUCCUCCAACUGGUGGAACCCGCACCUGGUUUUCUCAGGCCUCCUGGCGUGGAUUCCCUGGUGUUCUCAACGCCCUGGGGGUGCUGCCCAUCCUUCUCUGACAGCGAGGCGGCCUUAGAUCAGAGAAGGAGCCUCUCUGAUCUUACUCUGUGAAAAGACUCUGUUCACAAAAAGGCUUCACGUAGGAAAUUAAAACGCACUGAGAUUUGCCU